This 433-nucleotide ribosomal RNA is filed under the name uncultured bacterium. RNAcentral describes it as "partial 16S ribosomal RNA". It matches the Rfam family "Bacterial small subunit ribosomal RNA", at positions 29 to 507 of the family's 1533-position model. The record is from RNAcentral.
AGCGAACGCUGGCGGCAGGCCUAACACAUGCAAGUCGAACGAACUCUUCGGAGUUAGUGGCGGACGGGUGAGUAACACGUGGGAACGUGCCUUUAGGUUCGGAAUAACUCAGGGAAACUUGUGCUAAUACCGAAUGUGCCCUUCGGGGGAAAGAUUUAUCGCCUUUGGAGCGGCCCGCGUCUGAUUGGCUAGUUGGUGAGGUAAAGGCUCACCAAGGCGACGAUCAGUAGCUGGUCUGAGAGGAUGAUCAGCCACAUUGGGACUGAGACACGGCCCAAACUCCUACGGGAGGCAGCAGUGGGGAAUCUUGCGAAAUGGGUGAAAGCCUGACGGAGCCAUGCCGCGUGAAUGAUGAAGGUCUUAGGAUUGUAAAAUUCUUUCACCGGGGACGAUAAUGACGGUACCCGGAGAAGAAGCCCCGGCUAACUUCGUG